This 253-nucleotide ribosomal RNA is filed under the name uncultured bacterium. Its description in RNAcentral is "partial 16S ribosomal RNA". It matches the Rfam family "Bacterial small subunit ribosomal RNA", at positions 524 to 776 of the family's 1533-position model. The record is from RNAcentral.
UACGUAUGGGGCCAGCGUUGUCCGGAUUUAUUGGGCGUAAAGAGCGUGUAGGCGGCCAGAUAGGUCUGUUGUGAAAACUCGAGGCUCAACCUCGAGACGCCGAUGGAAACCAUCUGGCUAGAGUCCGGGAGAGGUGAGUGGAACUCCGAGUGUAGAGGUGAAAUUCGUAGAUAUUCGGAAGAACACCAGUGGCGAAGGCGGCUCACUGGCCCGGUACUGACGCUGAAAUACGAAAGCGUGGGGAGCAAACAGG